AAAGAGGUUUUAUUCAAAACCAUCCUUCAACAUGCAUAUAAUUUUG
This is a non-coding RNA of Tinamus guttatus (white-throated tinamou), 46 nucleotides long. The record is from Rfam. NCBI's taxonomy places the organism in Eukaryota, Metazoa, Chordata, Aves, Tinamiformes, Tinamidae.